Molecule: non-coding RNA, 460 nt
Organism: Camelina sativa (false flax)
Lineage: Eukaryota; Viridiplantae; Streptophyta; Magnoliopsida; Brassicales; Brassicaceae
Source: RefSeq, a predicted model, not a curated record
UACAUCUUUUGGUUUUGUACAGCGAUGUGCGUUUACUCUGCAUUGUUCAUGAGAUUUGCCUGGAUGGUGCAACCGCGCAACUACUUGCUACUUGCGUGCCAUGCAUCAAACGAGACUGUACAGCUCUAUCAGCUCUCUCGUUGGGCUAGAGCCCAGGGGUAUUUAUCCUCCAAGAAAGAAGAGGAGAAACCGUCUCAGUAAACCAAAAUGGAGGAAAGGUUUCUUCAAGCGAUCAUUCAGCAUUUGUUCUUGGGAAUUACUGAGAGAAUCUGUCGUUAUUUUAUAUUUUCCUUUGAAACGUGUUUGUGUUGUGUCACCAAGCUUUGGUUGCUUCACUUGUUGGAUCGCUCACUGACAUUAUUCUCUUUUCUUUGAUAAGUAACCCGCUUGUAAUAAAAUUUGGGACCAGUCCACAUUUCGUGUUAUCACAAAAUUCGAAACUAUUUGAUUUUGGUGUCUU